Molecule: ribosomal RNA, 530 nt
Filed under: uncultured bacterium
Lineage: Bacteria
Description: partial 16S ribosomal RNA
Rfam family: Bacterial small subunit ribosomal RNA
Source: RNAcentral
UGGGGAAUAUUGGACAAUGGGCGCAAGCCUGAUCCAGCAAUGCCGCGUGAGUGAUGAAGGCCUUAGGGUUGUAAAGCUCUUUCGCACGCGACGAUGAUGACGGUAGCGUGAGAAGAAGCCCCGGCUAACUUCGUGCCAGCAGCCGCGGUAAUACGAAGGGGGCUAGCGUUGUUCGGAAUUACUGGGCGUAAAGGGCGCGUAGGCGGCCUGUUUAGUCAGAAGUGAAAGCCCCGGGCUCAACCUGGGAAUAGCUUUUGAUACUGGCAGGCUUGAGUUCCGGAGAGGAUGGUGGAAUUCCCAGUGUAGAGGUGAAAUUCGUAGAUAUUGGGAAGAACACCGGUGGCGAAGGCGGCCAUCUGGACGGACACUGACGCUGAGGCGCGAAAGCGUGGGGAGCAAACAGGAUUAGAUACCCUGGUAGUCCACGCCGUAAACGACGAAUGCUAGACGUCGGGGUGCAUNCAGCUUCGGUGUCGCCGCUAACGCAUUAAGCAUUCCGCCUGGGGAGUACGGCCGCAAGGUUAAAACUU